AACUUUCAACAACGGAUCUCUUGGUUCUGGCAUCGAUGAAGAACGCAGCGAAAUGCGAUAAGUAGUGUGAAUUGCAGAAUUCAGUGAAUCAUCGAAUCUUUGAACGCACAUUGCGCCCCUUGGUAUCCCGAGGGGCAUGCCUGUUCGAGCGUCAUU
RNAcentral lists this ribosomal RNA (156 nucleotides) under uncultured fungus. Its description in RNAcentral is "5.8S ribosomal RNA". It matches the Rfam family "5.8S ribosomal RNA". From Rfam's summary of the family: 5.8S ribosomal RNA (5.8S rRNA) is a component of the large subunit of the eukaryotic ribosome. It is transcribed by RNA polymerase I as part of the 45S precursor that also contains 18S and 28S rRNA. Functionally, it is thought that 5.8S rRNA may be involved in ribosome translocation. The record is from RNAcentral. RNAcentral also lists the same sequence under 1 other name. Lineage: Eukaryota; Fungi.